UGGUGUGGCUGAAAAAAAAGGGGGCUUGAGUUUGCAUGCCAGCAGCAAAUAAAACGCAGCACACACGCACAAAAUGGUAAACAACAGCGGCUUUUGACGGCCAUUGCUUUUGGCCACAAUGGCGCGGCUUUCACAGGGGCUGCGCUGAAGGCGUGGAGGUGGGGGGCUGUUUUCUUUUUUUUUUUUAGCCAAACCACUGACUGCAGUAACUUUGGCAACGUGGCUCUGGCUUCCUUUGGCUUGCGUGCCAAGUGGCAAUCAGUCACGUUGGAAGGCGUUGUCCGCGUGUUGCUGCUGCGGCUGCUUCUGCUGCAUGUUGCUAGUUGCUAGUUGCUGGUGUGCAUGUUGCUGGUUGCUGUGGAUGUUGCUGUUUGUGCGAAUGUGUGUGCGCCAGCGGGCCGGUUUUUUGUUAUUUUUUUGUAUUUUUUUUUGUAUUUUCUGUUCAGUUUCUUCCAAUCCAAUCGCGAAACGCCGCCGCUUCAGCCAGCCAGCCAUCUCUUUCUGACGCGCGAUUUUGCGAUUCCGCGAUUGUUGCCAUUUUGCUGGACGGCACAAAAUGCGUCAUUUCGAGCGAAAAGAAAGCUGCUAAAACAAUUUGAUUCAAAAAUCUACAAUAUUCUAUAGAAAAAAGGAAAAUGGCUUCGAUCAAUCCAUUUUUUGAAUUUGUGGCUACAUACCGUAGAAAACAUCGAGCCCUAAAACAACAACGCGUUAUCGUAUCAAGAGCUGCGGUUUCGUGGAAGGCUUUAUCAAGAUCGCAGAAAGGUCGCUACCGUAAAAAGGCGAGCGAUGAACGCCAUCGGCGUCGUAGAAAUGCUGAUAAGAAAGCCAGGAAAAACCAAUAAUGGCAGUGAUGCCAACGAUGCCGUGCUCUACGCUACCGUUGGCCCCGAAAGAGUAGAGAUUUGAAACGCAAUUCUGCCUGCUGUUCAAAAUUCACAGCUUUGCAUUCGUUAUACCAAAUUAGCAUUUUAUGCACUGCUUUUGUUUUUAUUGGUUUCGAAAUUAUCAUCCUCUGUCUUUUUAGUGAACAAAAUAAUCAGUUUUUUGUCAGAACAUUCCCAAUAAAGGUUCAAAUAUAGAAUGCCAUA
Drosophila sechellia is the source of this 1091-nucleotide long non-coding RNA. RefSeq lists it as uncharacterized. The record is from RefSeq and is a predicted model, not a curated record. The transcript has 3 exons. NCBI's taxonomy places the organism in Eukaryota, Metazoa, Arthropoda, Insecta, Diptera, Drosophilidae.